ACCUUACCUAUUAAAUAGUUCGAAGUGCAUAUGUAAUGUAGAAUACUGUGUCGUAGCGCGAGUAGUCUAAAAUAUACACAUAUACUCCGAACUACCUUAACGAACUUCAAUACUAAUAAAGCGACAUUUCGAAACUACAUUAUAUAACGACGAGUCGUUAUAGCGACUACAAAUAUAUACAAAACUUGCUUUAAAUUGUUUUAAUUGCCUCUUAAAACUAUUUAGAAGCGCUGUAAUAGCGCGUUGUCGAAACAAUUGAUAGUUACUAAGAGAUGGUCGUCCCUUCUAAAAAUGUCUAUACACUUCAGAAUUUAUAUAGAGAAUCUCGACAAGACACUGUCUUGUCGUCUUAAAUAGUAGGUAGGAUACUAGCGUAAUAGUCGUAUACAGCCCGUCUUAAAACACGGACUAAGGAGUCUACUAUCUAUACGAGUGUUCGGGUGUUAAACCCCUACGCGUAAUAAAAGUGAACAGAGGUAGGAACGUAAGUGCACUAUCGACCGAUCCUAAUGUCUUCGGAUAGAUUUAAGUAAGAGUAUAGCUAGUAGGACCUAAAAGAUAGUGAUCUUUACUUAAAUAGAGUAAAGCUAGAGGAAACUCUAGUAGAGGCUCGUAGCGGUUCUAACGUGUAAAUCGAUCGUUAAAUUUAGGUAAAGAGGCGAAAGACUAAUCGAACUAUCUAGUAGCUAGUUCCUACCGAAGUUUCCCUUAGGAUAGUAGUAACGUUUUUAGUUUUAUAAGGUAAAGCGAAUAAUUAGAGGCCUUAGAGUUGAAACAACCAUAACCUAUUCUUAAACUUUAAAUAUGUAAGAAGUCCUUGUUGCUUAGUUAAACGUAGACAUUUAAAUACACCGUUACUAGUAGGCUAUUUUUAGUAAGUAGAACUAGCGAUGUAGGAUAAACUGAACGCGAGGUUAAGGUGCCAGAAUACACGCUUAUUAGACACUAUAAAAGGUGUUAGUUUAUCUAGACAGCAGGACGGUAGCUAUAGAAGUCGGAAUCCGCUAAGGAGUGUAUAACAACUUACCUACUAAAUAAACUAGCCCUAAAAAUAGAUAGCGCUUAAGCGUGCUACCUAUACCUUGCCGCCUAGGUAGAAACGAUGCCCGGGCGAGUAGGCAGGCGUAGAGGCCCGUGACGAAGCCUUAGGAGCGAUCCUAGGUCGAACAGCCUCUAGUACAGAUCUUAGUAGUAGUAGCAAAUACUUAAAUAAGAACUUUAAGAACUAAAGUAGGGAAAGGUUCUGUAUAAACAGUAGUUAGACACAGGUUAGUCGAUCCUAAGCUACAGGGAAACUCCGUUUUAAAGUGUACGCUCCGUGCUGCCUAGCGAAAGGGAAGCUAACCCUAACAUUCCGGCACCUAGAUGUGGAUUAUCCGCGGUAACGCAACUAAAGGCGUAGACGUCGGCGAGAGCUCUAGAAAGAGUUCUCUUUUCUUCUUAACAGCCCGUUACCCUAAAAUCGGUUUGUCCGGAGCUAGGGUUUAACGGCCGGUAGAGCCGUACACCUUUAUACGGUCCGGUGCGCUCUCGACGGCCCUUAAAAAUGCGCUAGAAGGAAUGAUUUUCACGCUAGGUCGUACUUAUAACCGUAGCAGGUCUCUAAGGUAAACAGCCUCUAAUUAAUAGAACAAUAUAGAUAAGGGAAGUCGGCAAAAUAGAUCCGUAACUUUGGGAAAAGGAUUAGCUCUAAGGGUUAGGUGCGUUAGGCCUUAGGUAGAUUCCCUAGGAGCAGGAUGGCACUAGCCUUACGGCCGGCGCCGCCUAGUACCUAGUAGCGGACGCCCUUAGCAGGCUUCGGCCGUCCGGCGCACGCUUAACAACCAACUUAGAACUAGUACGAACAAGGGGAAUCUAACUGUCUAAUUAAAACAUAGCAUUGCGAUAGCUAGAAAGUGGUGUUAACGUAAUAUGAUUUCUGCCUAGUGCUCUAAAUAUUAAAGUAAAGAAAUUUAACUAAGCGCGGGUAAACGGCAGGAGUAACUAUAACUCUCUUAAGGUAGCUAAAUGCCUCGUUAUCUAAUUAGUAACGCGUAUAAAUAGAUUAACGAGAUUCCUACUGUCCCUAUCUACUAUCUAGCGAAACUAUAGCUAAGGGAACGGGCUUAGCAGAAUCAGCAGGGAAAGAAGACCCUGUUAAGCUUAACUCUAGUUUGACAUUGUGAAAAGACAUAGAGGGUAUAGAAUAGGUAGGAGCUUCGGCGCUAGUGAAAUACUACUACCCUUAUCGUUUUUUUACUUAAUUAAUAAAGCGGAACUAGUCUUCACCGACUAUCUUCUAGCGUUAAGGUCCUUCGCGGGCCGAUCUAGGUUAAUAACAUUAUUAGAUAGGGAGUUUGGCUAGGGCGGCAUAUCUGUUAAACUAUAACGCAGGUGUCCUAAGAGGGACUUAUAGAGAACAGAAAUCUCUAGUAGAGUAAAAGGGCAAAAGUCCCCUUGAUUUUGAUUUUCAGUGUAAAUACAAACUAUAAAAGUGUGGCCUAUCGAUCCUUUAGUCCCUCAAAAUUUGAGGCUAGAGGUGCUAGAAAAGUUGCUAUAGGGAUAACUAGCUUGUAGUAGCUAAGCGUUUAUAGCGACGUUGCUUUUUAAUCCUUCGAUGUCGGCUCUUCCUAUCAUACCGAAGCAGAAUUCGGUAAGCGUUAGAUUGUUCACCUACUAAUAGGGAACGUGAGCUAGGUUUAGACCGUCGUAAGAUAGGUUAGUUUUACCCUACUAAUAACCGUCGUCCUAAUAGUAAUACCGCUUAGUACGAGAGGAACCGCGGUUUCAGAUAAUUGGUUUUUGCGGCUGUCCGACCGGGUAGUGCCGCGAAGCUACUAUCUGCUAGAUUAUAGCUGAACGCCUCUAAGUCAGAAUCUAUGCUAGAACGGGACGAUCUUCUCCGGCACGCCGGACGCGGAUAAGAAUAGGCACCGCUAGUACCUAAGACGGGUACGCCGCUAAAGAGGCAGCCCGACGUUGUAAUUUCACUACGCGCUAGGAUGAAUCCCUUACAGACGACUAGGACGUGCGAACGGGUCGUGUAAGCAGUCGAGUAGCCUUGUUGUUAUAAGCUGCUAAGCGUAAGCCUGCUUCGCCCGCAUUUGUUAGAAACACCUCCC
RNAcentral lists this ribosomal RNA (3101 nucleotides) under Microcyclospora pomicola. RNAcentral's name for it is "eukaryotic LSU rRNA". It matches the Rfam family "Eukaryotic large subunit ribosomal RNA", at positions 440 to 3401 of the family's 3401-position model. Lineage: Eukaryota; Fungi; Ascomycota; Dothideomycetes; Capnodiales. The record is from RNAcentral.